This is a long non-coding RNA of Homo sapiens (human), 4453 nucleotides long. Ensembl annotates it as long intergenic non-protein coding RNA 923. NCBI's taxonomy places the organism in Eukaryota, Metazoa, Chordata, Mammalia, Primates, Hominidae. The record is from Ensembl.
AUGGGGUUUCACCAUGUUGGCCAGGAUGGUCUUGAUCUCUUGACCUCAUGAUCUGCCUGCCUCGGCCUCCCAAAGUGCUGGGAUUAGCUCUUUUCAAGUCCAAAUUUCCCAACCGUGACUCUUCAGUGCCCACCUAAUCUGGCCCUGCUCACCCUCCAUCAUGCUUUCUUGCUAUGCCCAUGCUUGUUUGCUGGGCUCCUCAAAGUUCCUCCAGUUUUUCUGAGCACUUACUCCCCUCAGGCCUUUGGACUCACCCUUCCCUCUGCGGAUGAUGCUGCUAAACAGAGUAAUCUCAGUUCUAAGUGUCAUGUGCUACUUCCCUUGGAAAACCUCCCCUGGCCUAGGUGCCACCAUGUGAUCCUUUGGGACCUGCCUCCUGUCCUUAGCACUUACCCUUUUGACCUGUGACUGUUCCUUUGGGUGUACCUCUGGUCCCUCCCUUCCUAGGCUGUAAGCUCCACCUGUGCAGGGACAGGGUUUGUCCUGUUUGUCUGUCCCAGUGCAUACCACAUGAGAGGCACUGAAUAUGUUUCUUGACUGAAUAAACAAAUAUAUGAUUUUAUUAUAAUCUUGUUUUUCUACAGAGGGUUCCACUGACAAAGUUUGCUCACCUGUGUCAUCUUAUUUACCAUCUCGACCACACUGAGCCCCUCUGAGACAUCAGCAUGGGGCCUGGGACUGCCAGCCCACCUUUAGCACACGUGAACUGACAAAGUAGGGUUCCCCCACCCCUAUUUUGUAAGCUUAUUCAUGUGAGAGGUUUUCUAAGAAAUUUUAAGGAAAAUUACAUUUAAUCGGAUAUUUGAUGAAGAUCCAUUUAUAAAGAUAAGAACAUUUUACGAGCUGCCUAGGAGACGCCCGGAGCUGGGGCCCCAUAUGGACAAAGCUCUCGUUUGCCAACAAAAGCAGUUCUUCCCUAUCCCCAGGCAGCAGCUCUAGAAAACGAUCUACUGUCAUUUGAAUCCUUUUUACUGACAAUCUCCCUUUACCACAUGGUUUUCAGUGCGCUUGACAGAAUUUUUUGUUAAAUCAUAUUUCUAAGCUUAGAGUGUGCGUUUUCCCUAUUUAUCAUUCUGUCCUUGGUCUAAGUUUCUCCUCAAGGCCACUUUCACUUUUCCGACAGGCUCAAGCAUAUCUGAAUCGAGAAAAGCAGACAUGAUUGAAGCGCAUUUAUCUCCACUAAUUAAGAGGCUUAUGCCAGGCUGAGCUGAGAUUGUAACACCAGAUGAGCCUCCAUUUCAUCCCGCUACACCUGGAGAAGCUCCUGUGGGAGGAAGACUCAUGGAGACACUUUAAACUGGAAGCAAGAGACCCCAGGGAAGAGUGUUCUUAGGCAGAGGGAACAUAACAUGCUAACGUGCUAUGAGGGGGUAAGUUUGGCUCACAGGCGCCAAACAGGUAAGUGACAGUUCCAGGUAUCUUCAGUCUGUUUAUGAAGCACAUACUGGUGUACACGCAGCUACUGUUCAUUUCUUUACGCAUUUUUAAUGUUAUAUUUUGAGACGAUUGCAGAUUCACAUGCAGUUGUAAGAAAUGAUGCAGAGGGAUUCCAUGUACCCUUCACCAAGCCUCCCACAAUGGUAAUGUUUGCAUAACUACAGUAUGGUAUCUUAACCAGAAAAUCAACAUUGUUAUAAUUCACCUAAAACAUUUCUCCAGUUUUAUAUACCCUCAUUUGUGUGUGUGUGUGGGGGGGGAGGUGUAUUUAGUUCAAUAUAAUUUUAUUACCUGUGUAGACUUUCAUGACUACUAACACAGUCAGCGUGCAAAACAGUUUGAGGACAAUAACGCCUUGUUCUUGUUUUGCAUUCCGUCAAAACGUAUUUAAGCAAGCCUGUGUCAAAUGGAACCCUGAAAAAUAUGGCUUUAUUAUACUGAUGUCAUUAGAGGUCUUCUGAGUAGUUUAAAGUAUACAACAAUCUGUUUAGUUGGGCUUUUUGAUCUUAAUAACAAGAUCACUAAGUGGCAGUUCUACAUGGUGUAAGGCUAGAAGACAAUCUAGUCACAAUUCUCGAGACUGAGUUGAUCUAGAAAAGGUGUUGCAUCAAUUGCUUUGAACACCUAACACAUAGAACCAAUGCACGAAUACCUAGCUCCCUGGACACCUGAUCAGUGACCAGUGAGCUGGAAUAACUAGAUGAACAUUUAGAAAGAAUAAAUUCAUUUGGAACAGAAUAGUCUUAGAAAUACUGUACAUUUCGUUCAUUUGAAAAAUAUAUAAUAUCAAUUGUUUCUUCUUCCCAUAUCGACAUGGAAACUAGAUGUGGUUAAUGACUCAGCUGGUAGUGAUUACAAAUAAGGAGAAAAUGACCAUGUUAAUGCUAUGGAGUACUAAGGUACCAUGCUGGAAUACCAUGCUGGAAUACUAGUAUUGACAGUGAUAUAUUAUUGAAAGCGUGGUGGGGUCAUUAUUGUGUUGUAUACUCCCACCUGAUAGAGAGUCAAAGUCCAGGGCCAAGGUUCCCCUGUGCUUCCUAUUGGAAUUCUCCUCCCAAGAAGGAUAAAUGAAGAAGCCUGGAGGUAAAAUUAAAGUUUUCCUAGGAGUGACUGCAUAAGGAUAGAUAUGGUGCUGGAGGAGAGUGUUGAGAAAGAAGACGGGAUUAGGCUGUACUGGAAGAGCUGAAAAUGGUGUCAGGGAGCCUGUCUGAUCACUUUGUUGGUCUCUGACCCUAGAUCCCACCACAUCCACACUCUGCUCCUCUUUCAUUUAACACUUCUAUUGCUCACCCCACAAAAAGUAGAUAGAGUAAUACUAGUGUUUCUCUGGGAAACACUUCUCAUUAAUAAACAUUACAAAAGAUACUUAAUCUUAUUAAUGACCUGGGAAAUGGGAAUUUAAACCAAAAGUAUGAUGCUUUGGAAUGAUAAAUAAUCUCGGUCAGGGAAGGAUACUGAAUAAUUGUUUCUGAACGAUAGACCUUUGUUUCUUUUGAAACGGUAAGGUAGAAUAUAAGUCUCUGGACACAACUGAUAUAUAAAUUAAAAUAAUAUUUUGAUACUUAAAACAGCAUUGUGCAAUGGAGUUGCAGUUAUUAGACUUCCCCUGGCCAGCUGCACGUGGACUAGGAUGCAAGUGGAUGUGCCACAUCACCUGGAUUUUGAGGCUGCAGUUCUGGCUUUUGGUCUGGAAUGCCCUUCAGUCUCUGCUGAUGGCAACCCAGACUCCCAGAGGUGGAAGGCAGUGAUGAUGCCUUCUAAGCUGACCUCAAAUCACUCACAUCACACCCUGGAAGGAAAAAGCCAAGAUUUGCUUGAAACUUCUUCGAGAAAAUGUACCCAGUCCUCCCUGGUCCAUUUAUGCUUUCAAUCCAGUAUUUUUCUUUUAUUGAAGUAAAACUCACUGCCUCAUAACUUCUUGACAGCAGCUCUAUGCUCCAGAGUACACAGAAAAGUUGAAACCUGUGUGCAUAUGACAGGCUUUUAAAAAUGGGAAGACAGUCCUCAUGUCUCCCUCCCAGUGCUUUUUCUUUCCCAGAUGAAGUAACUACUUCUAUUUAGUGGAUGUGAGCUGUGCAAGGUACAUCCUUGAUGUGUUACCCACAUCGUCUCAUGAAUCUUGUCAAGAGCAUCACCAGAGAGACAUCAUUAUUGACACUUUCAGAUGAGAGAAUUGAGGUUCAGAAAGGAAAUGGCCUCAAGGUCCCCCAGCUGUGUUAAAGCUGAGGCUGGAGCCCCAAACGACUCACUGCAGAGCGGAUGUUUCUUUUAUGCAGAUUAACUCCCAUGGCUAAAUGCCCACCAUGCCUUUAAUCUUCCCUUCAUAUCCCAGACCCUAUAUUAUCCUGUUCUCAGUGAAACCUCCUGCAGUGUAUAACUCUUGGUUUUUUCUGCCCUGCCCCUGGCUUCCUUGUGAAUGGCUGGUCCCCACAUUCUAAUCAGAAAGUUACUGUAGGAGCAUGUGAGACUCCGUGAACUUUGCUAUAUGGGAUUUAGACAGGGGUGGAAUCUUUACAUAGGCCACAUAUAGGGUUCCCUGGGAGUUUUUUUUUUAAACUGGUACUUUGAGAGAGAGGUCAUCCUUCUCUGGUGGGGGAAUGGUAAUAUGUAAAAAGUGAGAACUGCUUGCAGCUGGUAAUCGAAAUUUUUACAGUUUUUAAAUUCGUCAGUUUUCUACAAACUAACAUCAAUCUUGAAGUUUGUAAAGUGUUUGGGCCCUAAGCAAUAGUAAGUAGUCAAAUGAUCCUUAGGAAAACUUGCAGAAUGCCAUAACUUAAUAAUGAAGAUUACUCCAUCCUUUCUGUUUGCCUUACUUGCAAGUAUUUGACUUUUUAAAAAAAUCUUACAUAAGAUGUCUAUGAAGUGAAGCACUUUCUGUGUGUAAUUCAUGGUCUUUAUAGAGCAACACAUUUUUGCCUUACCCUAAUAUUAGAGCACUAAUUUGGAAACCUGAAACCUUUAAUUUUGAAUGGGGAUAUCCCAGAAGAAUCAUCAGAAUCACAGACAAUCAUGUCCC